Molecule: long non-coding RNA, 1586 nt
Filed under: Anas platyrhynchos platyrhynchos (common mallard)
Lineage: Eukaryota; Metazoa; Chordata; Aves; Anseriformes; Anatidae
Description: lncRNA (ENSAPLG00000022189.1)
Source: RNAcentral
CUAGGGUUUGAAUAUUGCUGCUUUGUUUCCUGGUGUACUUUAAGGGACAUAAAAAUGGGUUGAGGCAAAAUACCCCUUAAAACAGGGCACGCUCUGUGCACUGCCUUGAGGCUCCAUUAGAGAGCCUUCUUUCCUACAUGUAUCUUUACAAGGCAAAUAACCUGGGACGCAGAUGGCAGGAAUGCCAGACCUCCUGCAGGAGUAGAGAUGGCAAAUGACAACUAGAAACAACCCUUUACCUUCAGACCCUAAGGCUAUUGGCAGAUAUGACCACCUAGUCCAGAAAGGGGUUAUUUGGUCAUGAUCUCCCAUUCAGACUGAUGCUGUUACAGAGCUGUGAUGUGUAUUUCCAGUAGCCACAUGCUGCUGAGAGCAGGCCAGUGUUCAGACUGAAUCUGUAGGAGGAUUAGUGUCCCUGAGAAAGGGCUCUUUCCGUGGGCACUCUCGGCAAUGACUGUCUCUGCUCACACGGGGAGCUGAUGUCUUGGUGUCCCCUUGACUUUGCCCUGGAGGUUUUUGGCUAGGCCAGGGCUGAAAUGUCUGGAGGUAAUCAGAAAUGGUUUCCUGACGACACCUCUGGGGUGUACUCCAACUGUUGAGUCCAUCAGCUGAAUUUCCUUUAUGGGCCAAAACCUUCGAUCAGCUGAUGUCUGACUGAAAUCUGUCCCAGCUUUUGGCUCCUUCACUUCUCACCAAGUACCUCUGCUGCAGCAGACUCGUGUCCUGGGCCAAUUUUACCAGGCUCUGACCUCUUCUGGAGGUGUCUGGGCUGCGUUAUGAGGCAGCAGGCGUACCCUCCCUCUCCCCUCAGAGCACCGUGGGUCCCUGCAGACAGAUCAGGCCAGCGCUGGCUGCUUCCCCCUCGCAUUGCUCUUGUGUUUUGUUUUUUUGCACAGAGCACAGGCAGAAAAACCGUGGAGGACAGGGAAAAGCGAGACCCCGUCCCCAUCGCCUCACGGGCUCGCCUCACGGGCUCGCCUCACGGGCUCGCCUCACGGGCUCGCCUCACGGGCUCGCCUCACGGGCUCGCCUCACGGGCUCCGCUCGGCGCCCUUGACGCGGGGCGGAGCCGCCUCAGCGCUGGCGCUCGGUGCCGCCGCUCGGUGCCGCCGCCCCCCGGCCGCACCGACCACCUGAUCCCGCUCCGCCCGCCGCAGCCGCAGCCUUUGUGUGAGGAGCGGGGCGGCGCGGGGCGGCCCCAUGAGGCGGUGAGGGAUGGCGGCGGGCGGCGGCGGCGGGCGGCCGCCGGGCCCCGACUCGUCGCUGGAGCCGUACGUGCAGACCCGCAUCUUCAAGAUCAUCGUGAUCGGCGACUCCAACGUGGGCAAGACGUGCCUGACCUUCCGCUUCUGCGGGGGCACCUUCCCCGACAAGACCGAGGCCACCAUCGGCGUGGACUUCCGCGAGAAGACGGUGGAGAUCGAGGGCGAGCGCAUCAAGCUUACAGAAGUUCUUACAGAAGAGCAGGGUGCAGGUUGGAAGGGACCUCUGGAAGCCAUCUGGUCCAAUCCCCCUGCUCAAGGAAGACCACCCAGAGCAGGCUGCCCAGCACCAUGUCCAGUAAAGAAGUGCUUCCUGAGGUUUAG